RNAcentral lists this ribosomal RNA (544 nucleotides) under uncultured archaeon. Its description in RNAcentral is "bacterial SSU rRNA". It matches the Rfam family "Archaeal small subunit ribosomal RNA", at positions 326 to 869 of the family's 1478-position model. The record is from RNAcentral.
CGGGGUGCACCAGGCGCGAAAACUUUACAAUGCCGGCAACGGCGAUAAGGGAACCUCGAGUGCCAGGUUACAAAUCUGGCUGUCGUGAUGCCUAAAAAGCAUUGCAUAGCAAGGGCCGGGCAAGACCGGUGCCAGCCGCCGCGGUAACACCGGCGGCUCGAGUGGUAACCGUUAUUAUUGGGUCUAAAGGGUCUGUAGCCGGCCGGGUAAGUCUCUUGGGAAAUCUGGCAGCUUAACUGUCAGGCUUUCAGGAGAUACUGCCUGGCUCGAGGCCGGGAGAGGUGAGAGGUACUUCAGGGGUAGGGGUGAAAUCUUGUAAUCCUUGAAGGACCACCAGUGGCGAAGGCGUCUCACCAGAACGGACCUGACGGCAAGGGACGAAAGCUAGGGGCACGAACCGGAUUAGAUACCCGGGUAGUCCUAGCCGUAAACGAUACUCGCUAGGUGUCGGCCACGGUGCGACCGUGGUCGGUGCCGUAGGGAAGCCGUGAAGCGAGCCACCUGGGAAGUACGGCCGCAAGGCGUGAAACUUAAAGGAAUUGGC